RNAcentral lists this ribosomal RNA (406 nucleotides) under uncultured bacterium. RNAcentral's name for it is "partial 16S ribosomal RNA". It matches the Rfam family "Bacterial small subunit ribosomal RNA", at positions 30 to 526 of the family's 1533-position model. The record is from RNAcentral.
AUUGAACGCUGGCGGCAGGCCUAACACAUGCAAGUCGAGCGAGCGGCGGACGGGUGAGUAAUUUAUGGGCACCUGCCCGAUAGAGGGGGAUAACUACUGGAAACGGUGGCUAAUACCGCAUACUAUCGGAUGAGCUCAUAGGGGAUUAGCUAGUGGGUGGGGUAACGGCUCACCUAGGCGACGAUCCCUAGCUGGUCUGAGAGGAUGAUCAGCCACACUGGGACUGAGACACGGCCCAGACUCCUACGGGAGGCAGCAGUAGGGAAUAUUGCACAAUGGGCGCAAGCCUGAUGCAGCCAUGCCGCGUGUAUGAAGAAGGCCUUAGGGUUGUAAAGUACUUUCAGCGGGGAGGCGUUACCCACAGAGGAAGCAACGGCUAACUCCGUGCCAGCAGCCGCGGUAAUUC